Molecule: ribosomal RNA, 256 nt
Filed under: uncultured bacterium
Lineage: Bacteria
Description: partial 16S ribosomal RNA
Rfam family: Bacterial small subunit ribosomal RNA
Source: RNAcentral
UAAACAACCUGCCUUCAGGAUGGGGACAACAGACGGAAACGAACUGCUAAUACCGAAUAAGUUCCAAGAGCCGCAUGGCCCAUGGAAGAAAAGGUGGCCUCUACCUGUAAGCUAUCGCCUGAAGAGGGGUUUGCGUCUGAUUAGCUGGUUGGAGGGGUAACGGGCCCACCAAGGCGACGAUCAGUAGCCGGUCUGAGAGGAUGAACGGCCACACUGGAACUGAGACACGGUCCAGACUCCUACGGGAGGCAGCAUG